This is a long non-coding RNA of Grus americana (Whooping crane), 1414 nucleotides long. RefSeq lists it as uncharacterized. The record is from RefSeq and is a predicted model, not a curated record. Lineage: Eukaryota; Metazoa; Chordata; Aves; Gruiformes; Gruidae. The transcript has 3 exons.
AAUAUCUUUAUGUCUUGUUUUCUGGAUGAUUUGUCAAUGUCAUUUUUAAAAAAUAGCAAUAAGAAAAUGUCAUGCCAUGUUUCAGUACCAGUCUCAACUGACUAUGCGGUCUUAUAAAUAUGCCUUUUUUUGCCAUCGCAGAAGAAUGUUACGCAAACCACGGAGAAUGCAUGUCAAAUUGCUCAUCCAGCACUACCCAGCUGAAUCUCAGCUUUCCAGGAUAUAGUCCUUCAUUCUGGAUUCCAUUGUCUUGAUUGUGUAACUCAGCGCAGAUUGAGUUUCUAUUUUCCCAGAAUCAUAUGUCAGUCUUGUGGAAGCACUUCACACACUGAAAAAAAAAGAGUUAGAAAUCUUUAAAAGAUGACAACAUAGUGAAGGGAUUCUCUGGCAGUACCACUGUGAGUAUUACAGAGAAAGCUGUCCACAGAAGUCUGUGAAGUGAUUCAAGUUUGAGAUCUGAAAUGUUUGGACCACAGAGUGAAGAAGAGCAUAUGGAUGAUAAAGAUCAGAGGGGUCUCACUAUGAAUGAAGGGAGAUGACACUCACUUCAUGCACAGAAAACCAUCCAUACUGUCUUCAGUUCUCAUCUAGGAUGUGGUGGAUGGGUGCUAGCAUAUUUUCCUGGGUUUUUAUUUUAUAGAGUGGUGAUUAGACUGAUGGACAAAUUAUCUUCUUCCUUGGUAAGAUCUGCCCAUUUUAAAGUGUAAAUGGGUUAGGAAUGCCAUUCGGAUAUGCUUGUGGAUAAUGCAUGAUUAUAAGAUGUAACGAAAUCCUGAUGUUACAGGGGUAUUAGUAAGGGAGAAUUCUGCUAGGAUUCCCAGAGCCUCAGUCCCUUCCCAGGGCUGUGCACGUAAGGAGUAGGAGGCUGUGACUGUAGAGGGCUGUGUAAGUUUCAGAAAUGCUGGGACAGCUUCUCUUUGGUGUCCCCUACCCAUAGGUAUGCUGUGCUGCAGAAACCUUCCCACUGCCUCCACAACUACACUGCAGUAAUUGCGAUUUGAUUCAGUUUACUGGAGCAGGAGUGGGACCUGUGUCCUACAUUGCUGGGUCUGAAAUGGAGAUGAUGGAGUAUGCUUAGCAUCAUCGCCUUGGGAGGGACAUUUUUGUGGUAAUAUAUUGUGUACGAGUGUUUAAGAGAAACUUUAAAAACUCUGUUUUUGCAUGAACUUAUUUUUGAGUAUGUAAUGUUCUGGAUGUGUUUUCAAAAGAAUUUUUUUUAAAGUUUUGAUGAAAAAGUGACUGUGCAGAAGAACUUUGCAGCACCAGCCAUCCAGUUCUGGCUCACACUGAACAUAUGUCAAUACAGCUUGGAAAGAACACUGUUCAGAGGAAUCCAAGAGAUUGGGAGCUGGAUAUUAAAUUCCAAUACAUUACUCCAGAAAUGCCAUCAUUAAUAUUUUGUAUUAAAAAUAUU